Non-coding RNA from Pelobates cultripes (western spadefoot toad), 1463 nucleotides. Lineage: Eukaryota; Metazoa; Chordata; Amphibia; Anura; Pelobatidae. The record is from the annotation of a GenBank genome assembly.
GUCAGCGAACCACCCUAUCCACGGUUAACCCCUUCCCUGCCACCAGCCAACCUCCCUACCUAUUGUUAAUCCAUCCUUAAUCCCUUCAUUGCCAGCUAACCUCCCUAACCCCUCUUAUCCUGUCCCCUGCCAGCCUACCUCCUCUGCGGUUAACCCCUCCCCUGUUAGCCGACCACCCUAUCCACGGUUAACCCCUUCCCUGGCACCAGCCAACCUUCAUACACACUGUUACACCCUAGAUAUAGAAGAGAGAGGAAACGAGAGCACAAAGCUCUAGACUGAUAUUUAUGAGUUUGUCUGUCUCUUUACAUUUAUAUAUAUUUUAACCAUGACACUAUGAUAUCUAAUGUGGUGAGGAAAUGUGUGUGUGAUGAGGUUUGUAAAUUCUAGUGUCGGACUGUGGAGGACUCUGAGGAGGCGUGGCCAGGUAUGAGUGCAGCUCACGCACGCCCAGUAAGGCAUGAUUGCCAGGAGUGUAAGCCGCUUGGGUGCUUUUCCUGUUCAGCUGCUAGCAGCUAUUCGUGAGGUUCCAGUUCGGGAAUUUGGAGUGCUACUUGGUAUCCUGUUCGGGAGUUUGGUGUUCUGCAGUAGCUGUGCCUGCAUCUCUGAAAAGGGGACGAUCGCCUAAACGGUUUUAACCCCUUGUGUGCAAAACGGUCCAUUACAAUUGGUGGCAAGCAGCGGGAUCGUUCCUACAGCUAGAAGGACAGCUACAGGAGACACCAUUUCUUUGGAUUUACAAGUGGGGGCAACACAUGUCCCAGUACAGCGACCCUAAAAGCAACAGAAUGGAACCAGCAGUGUUAUACGAGGAGGAGGACCUGGAUGCAUUAAGGAAAAGCAUCUGGUACCAGGCCCUGGAUAAUGUACAAUACCAGCGGGGUGAGAGUCUCCCCAGUGAAGAGCAGCGGUUGCAGAAGCAAGUGGCCCUGAGGAUGCCCUUCCUGGGAGAGCAGCCCCUGGAGGAAUGGGUGAAGGAAUUGGAGCUCCGAGUAUGGCAGGAGAUUUGGCUGGAAGAUGCCUACCAGGCGCUCUGGUGGUAUGGGGCACAGUACCUGCCCUGGACAGCCGAGCAUGACAAGCCAGAGGGAGAGGAGUUUGAUGGUCCUGGCUUGAUAUGGGAGGCUUUUGCAGAGCCUGAGUUUGGGAGCCCUACACAAGCCCGGUUCAGUGAUCUCUUGGAGUGGAGGGAGAGCAGGUAUGACUAGGACAACACUCACGAAAUUGAGCAAGACCUGGCUCACCUAGCAACCCUGGAGUGGGAACUGGAGCAGGACUACCGAGAUCUCUUCCACUCCACUGAGAAGAUUCAGCAGGACAGCAAGGUGACAGAUCCAGUUCCAGACCCAUUCAGCUGGGAAGACAUUGUUGAUAUUUACUGGGAAGAACCCCAGGUGGCGGGUGGAGACGGGACCGAGGUCUCUCCACCGAUAUUGCAGGGAAUUGGGAGCCCGAGCUCCAUU